Mytilus californianus (California mussel) is the source of this 3234-nucleotide long non-coding RNA. RefSeq lists it as uncharacterized. Lineage: Eukaryota; Metazoa; Mollusca; Bivalvia; Mytilida; Mytilidae. The record is from RefSeq and is a predicted model, not a curated record. The transcript is spliced from 3 exons.
CCUUCUAGUACAAUUUCAGAAAUAUCCAAACACUUACACACAAGUCAUUGUCAUGAAACUAGAAAAAUGCUUGUUUUUUGCCCCUUUUUUGGCCCCUAAUUCCUAAAAUUUUGAGGCAAUUACCACCAAAAUCAAUUACAGCCUUUCCUUUGUGAUAUGGAACCUUGUGGUACAAUGUCAGAGAGAUCCAUACACUUACACACAAGUUAUUGUCUGGAAGUUACAAAAAUGCUUAUUUUUUGGCCCCUUUUUGGUCCCUAAUUCCUUAACUGUUGGUACCAUUUUUCAAUCAAGAUACUCUAAUAAUAAUUAUGGCUAAGUUUAAUUCCAUUUGGCCAAGUAGAUUAAGAGGAGAAGAUUUUUUUAAAAGAUUUCAAAAAUUUACGAAAAAUAGUGAAAAAUUGACUUUAAAGGGCAAUAACUCCUUAAGGGGUCAAUUGACAAUUUUGGUCAUGUUUGACUUAUUUGUAGAUCUUACUUUGCUGAACAUUUUUGCUGUUUACAGUUUAUCUCUAUCUAUUAUUAUAUUCAGGUUAUAACCAAAAGCUGCAAAAUUUCCUUAAAAAUACCAAUUCAGGAGCAGCAAUCCAACAAGGGUUGUCUGAUUCGUCUGAAAAUUUCAGGGCAGAUAGAUUUUGACCUGAUGAACAUUUUUACCACAUGUCAGAUUUGCUCUAAAGCUUUGCUUUCAGAGUUAUAAGCUAUUUUUAGCCAUGGUUACCAUCUUGGUUGGUGGGCGGAAUCAUUGGAUACAUUUUCUAAACUAGAUACCCUGAGGAUAAUUAAGGCCAAGUUUGGUUUAAUUUGGCCCAGUAGUUUCAGAGGAGAAGAUUUUUGUAAAAGAUUACAAAAAUUAAGGAAAAAUUGUGAAAAAUUGACUUUAAGGCCAAUAACUCCUUAAGGGGUCAAUUGACAAUUUUGGUCAUGUUGACUUAUUUGUAGAUCUUACUUUACUGAACAUUCUUGCUGUUUACAGUUUAUCUCUAUCUAUAAUAAUAUUGAAGAUAAUAACCAAUAAAUUGCCUCGCCGAGCGCAGCUGGAUAUGACCGCAGAGGUCCAACCCUGAACAGUUGGGGCAAAAAUGGACACAAUAUUCGCGCUUGAUACAGGUCUGAAUUUGGAUUGUAAUUAAAUAUUUGACAUACAUCUAUUAUAGGUUUCUGAAUAAAUGUAGUCAAAGAACUUGAAGUUGGUUAUAUGAAUUGAGUUUAUAUUCAAUUUAAGAUUUCUUGCUGUUGUGCAAUACACUGUGCUGUUGCCCAAUACUUAGUAAAUCUGUUGUCAGACUAAAAACAAAAAAAAAUAUAAAAUUCUAAAGGGAGCUUACAUCAAUAGAUAUAAACAGUUCACCAAAGUUUCAUACGAAUUGCUGAAAGCAUUUUUGAGUUUUUGUCUGAAAACUGGAAAAUCCCCCCUUUUUUAAUGAAUAAACCCCAUAAUUCGGAAAUGUAAAAUCUAAAAAUUUAUAAAUUUCUAAAGGGAGCUUACAUCAAUAGAUAUCAACAAUUCAUCAAAGUUUCAUGAGAACUGCUAAAAGCAUUUUUGAGUUAUUGUCCGAAAACUGGAAAAUCCCCCUUUUUUUCAUGAAUAAAACCCCAUAACUCGGAAACGUAAAAUCUAAAAUUUACAAAAAUCCUAAGGGAGCUCAUGUCAAUAGAUAUAAACAAUUAACCAAAAUUUCUUGCAAGUUGGUGAAAGCAUUCUUGAGUUAUAGUCCGAAAACUGGAAAAUCCCACUUUUUUUAAUGAAUAAAACCCCAUAACUCGGAAACGUAAUAUCUAAAAUUUAUAAAAAACGAAAGGGAGCUCAUGUCAAUAGAUAUAAACAAUUAACCAAAAUUUCUUGCAAGUUGGUGAAAGCAUUCUUGAGUUAUUGUCCGAAAACUGGAAAAUCCCCCUUUUUUUAAUGAAUAAAACCCCAUAACUCGGAAACGUAAUAUCUAAAAUUUAUAAAAAACGAAAGGGAGCUCACGUCAAUAGAUAUAAACAAUUCACCAAAGUUUUAAGCAAAUUGGUUAAAGCAUUUUUGAGUUAAUGUCCGACAUGUUGACGACGGACGGACGGACAGACGUACGGACAGACGGACGUACAACGGUAUACCAUAAUACGUCCCGUAAACGGGCGUAUAAAAACUGCAUUUUACCCCUAUGUUCUAUUUUUAACAAAGUCUGCCAUGAUGGUUGGAAGGCGGGGUCAUCGGACAAAUUUUUUAAACUAGAUACCCUAAUAAUGAUUAUGGCCAAGUAUGGUUAAAUUUGUCUCAGCAGUUUCAGAGGAGAAGAUUUUUGUAAAAGAUUACAAAAAUUUACAAAAAAUUGUUAAAAAUUGACUAUUAAAGGCAAUAACUCCUAAAGGGGUCGACUGACAAUUUUGGUUAUGACAACUUAUUUGUAGAUCUUACUUUGCUGAACAUUAUUGCUGUUUACAGUUUAUCUCUAUCUAUAAUAAUAUUCAAGAUAAUAACCAAUAAAAUGCUCUGCAGGGCGCAGCUUGAUACGACCGCAGAGGUCGAACCCUGAACAGUUGGGGCAAGUAUGGACACAACAUUCAAGCUUGAUACAGAUCUGAAUUUGGAUUGUGAUUAAAUAUUUGACACAGCAUAGGUUUCUGACACAGAAUGAAUGUGGUCUAAGAACUUAAAAAUUUUAAAUUGGACAUUCACCUAUUAUGGUCCAAUAUCCAAAAUCUAAAUACAUGGUUAGAUUCAGCAUAUCAAAGAACCCCAAGAAUUCAAUUUUUGAUGAAAUCAAACAAAGUUUAAUUUUGGACCCUUUUGACCUCAAUGUGGACAAAGUUGAUAAUGGGGCCCAAAAAUCAAAAAUCUAAAUACAUGGUUAGAUUCAGCAUAUCAAAGAACCCCAUACAUUCAAUUUUUGUUGAAAUCAAACAAAGUUUAAUUUUGGACCCCGAUUUGGACCAACUUGAAAACUGGGCCCUUAAUCAAAAAUCUAAAUACAUGUUUAGAUUCAGCAUAUCAAAGAACCCUAAGAAUUCAAUUUUUGUUAAAAUCAAACUAAGUUUAAUUUUGGACCCUUUGGACCUUAAUGUAGACCAAUUUGAAAACGGAACCAAAAAUUAAGAAUCUAAAUACAGUUAGAUUAGGCAUAUCAAAGAACCCCAAUAAUUCAAUUUUUGAUGAAAUCAAACAAAGUUUAAUUUUGGACCCUUUGGACCUCAAUGUGGACCAAUUUAAAAACAGGGCCCAAAAUCCAAAAACUUAAUACACUGUUAGAA